UGGGGAAUUUUGGACAAUGGGCGAAAGCCUGAUCCAGCAAUGCCGCGUGUGUGAAGAAGGCCUUCGGGUUGUAAAGCACUUUUGUCCGGAAAGAAAUCCUUGGCUCUAAUACAGUCGGGGGGAUGACGGUACCGGAAGAAUAAGCACCGGCUAACUACGUGCCAGCAGCCGCGGUAAUACGUAGGGUGCAAGCGUUAAUCGGAAUUACUGGGCGUAAAGCGUGCGCAGGCGGUUUGCUAAGACCGAUGUGAAAUCCCCGGGCUCAACCUGGGAACUGCAUUGGUGACUGGCAGGCUAGAGUAUGGCAGGAGGGGGGUAGAAUUCCACGUGUAGCAAGUGAAAUGCGUAGAGAUGUGGAGGAAUACCGAUGGCGAAGGCAGCCCCCUGGGCCAAUACUGACGCUCAUGCACGAAAGCGUGGGGAGCAAAACAGGAUUAGAUACCCCUGGUAGUCCACGCCCUAAAACGAUGUCAACUAGUUGUUGGGGAUUCAUUUCCUUAGUAACGUAGCUAACGCGU
RNAcentral lists this ribosomal RNA (518 nucleotides) under uncultured bacterium. Its description in RNAcentral is "partial 16S ribosomal RNA". It matches the Rfam family "Bacterial small subunit ribosomal RNA", at positions 355 to 860 of the family's 1533-position model. The record is from RNAcentral.